ACAGCAGCAGCCGCGGUAAUACGGAGGGUGCGAGCGUUAAUCGGAAUUACUGGGCGUAAAGCGUACGCAGGCGGUUUGUUAAGUCAGAUGUGAAAUCCCCGAGCUUAACUCGGGAACUGCAUUUGAAACUGGCAAGCUAGAGUCUCGUAGAGGGGGGUAGAAUUCCAGGUGUAGCGGUGAAAUGCGUAGAGAUCUGGAGGAAUACCGGUGGCGAAGGCGGCCCCCUGGACGAAGACUGACGCUCAGGUACGAAAGCGUGGGGAGCAAACAGGAUUAGAUACCCCGGUAGUCCCUGUCUCUUAUAC
RNAcentral lists this ribosomal RNA (305 nucleotides) under uncultured bacterium. Its description in RNAcentral is "partial 16S ribosomal RNA". It matches the Rfam family "Bacterial small subunit ribosomal RNA", at positions 505 to 807 of the family's 1533-position model. The record is from RNAcentral.